AAAAAGAUAAGCUAAUUUAAGCUAAUGGGCUCAUACCCCAUCUAUGUGAGUAAAUCUCUCUCUUUUUA
This 68-nucleotide transfer RNA is filed under the name Panulirus argus (Caribbean spiny lobster). Its description in RNAcentral is "tRNA-Met". Lineage: Eukaryota; Metazoa; Arthropoda; Malacostraca; Decapoda; Palinuridae. The record is from RNAcentral. RNAcentral also lists the same sequence under 1 other name.